RNAcentral lists this ribosomal RNA (373 nucleotides) under uncultured bacterium. RNAcentral describes it as "bacterial SSU rRNA". It matches the Rfam family "Bacterial small subunit ribosomal RNA", at positions 32 to 416 of the family's 1533-position model. The record is from RNAcentral.
AAUCAACGCUGGCGGCGCGCUUAACACAUGCAAGUCGCACGAGAAAGUGGAGCAAUCCAUGAGUAAAGUGGCGUACGGGUGAGUAACACGUGGAUCAUCUACCUCUUGGUGGGGAAUAACCCUGGGAAACCGGGGCUAAUACCGCAUAAGCCUGAAAAGGGAAAGCAGCAAUGCGCCGAGAGAGGAGUCCGCGGCCGAUUAGCUUGUUGGUAGGGUAAUGGCCACCAAGGCAAUGAUCGGUAGCCGGCCUGAGAGGGCACACGGCCACACUGGCACUGAAACACGGGCCAGACUCCUACGGGAGGCAGCAGUGGGGAAUUGUUCGCAAUGGGCGCAAGCCUGACGACGCAACGCCGCGUGGAGGAUGAAGGUC